RNAcentral lists this ribosomal RNA (433 nucleotides) under uncultured bacterium. Its description in RNAcentral is "partial 16S ribosomal RNA". It matches the Rfam family "Bacterial small subunit ribosomal RNA", at positions 29 to 507 of the family's 1533-position model. The record is from RNAcentral.
AACGAACGCUGGCGGCAUGCCUAACACAUGCAAGUCGAACGAGACCUUCGGGUCUAGUGGCGCAUGGGUGCGUAACGCGUGGGAAUCUGCCCUUGGGUUCGGAAUAACAGUUGGAAACGACUGCUAAUACCGGAUGAUGACGUAAGUCCAAAGAUUUAUCGCCCAGGGAUGAGCCCGCGUAGGAUUAGCUUGUUGGUGGGGUAAAGGCCUACCAAGGCGACGAUCCUUAGCUGGUCUGAGAGGAUGAUCAGCCACACUGGGACUGAGACACGGCCCAGACUCCUACGGGAGGCAGCAGUGGGGAAUAUUGGACAGUGGGCGAAAGCCUGAUCCAGCAAGGCCGCGUGAGUGAUGAAGGCCUUAGGGUUGUAAAGCUCUUUUACCCGGGAUGAUAAUGACAGUACCGGGAGAAUAAGCCCCGGCUAACUCCGUG